UGGCGAAGGCGGUUUUUUCGCUACGACUACGGCGCGUCGAGAGAGGAAAGUCCGGACACCACGGAUAAAGGUGCUGGUUAAUGGCCAGGACCCGUAAGGGUACGGAUAGUGCCACAGAAACGAAGUAUAGGCCCCGUGAAAACCGUAUGGUUUUUUUACUGGGUGCUAUAGUGAAAAGGGUAAACCCCACCUGGUGCAAGGUCAAAUAGGUCCCGUAGAAUAAACACAUCCAUAUGGGUGUUGAUUCGAUUACUGAUUCGUUAAUCUUGAAAAGGUUUUUACAAAUCUUUUCUUUACGGGAUGGGUAGACCGCAAAGAGCCAUCCAGUAAUGGCUGGCCAAGAUAAAUGAUCAUCGCCUGUCGCAAGGCGGGAACAAAAUCCGGCUUAUUGGUUUCUUUAAGGA
This 404-nucleotide RNase P RNA is filed under the name Deltaproteobacteria bacterium RIFCSPHIGHO2_02_FULL_40_28. RNAcentral describes it as "RNase P RNA component class A". It matches the Rfam family "Bacterial RNase P class A". Rfam says of the family: Ribonuclease P (RNase P) is a ubiquitous endoribonuclease, found in archaea, bacteria and eukarya as well as chloroplasts and mitochondria. Its best characterised activity is the generation of mature 5'-ends of tRNAs by cleaving the 5'-leader elements of precursor-tRNAs. Cellular RNase Ps are ribonucleoproteins. Lineage: Bacteria; Deltaproteobacteria. RNAcentral also lists the same sequence under 3 other names. The record is from RNAcentral.